Molecule: ribosomal RNA, 79 nt
Filed under: Bacillus pumilus
Lineage: Bacteria; Bacillati; Bacillota; Bacilli; Caryophanales; Bacillaceae
Description: partial 16S ribosomal RNA
Rfam family: Bacterial small subunit ribosomal RNA
Source: RNAcentral
CCUCGGAGAGUUUGAUCCUGGCUCAGGACGAACGCUGGCGGCGUGCCUAAUACAUGCAAGUCGAGCGAACAGAAGGGAG